This 358-nucleotide ribosomal RNA is filed under the name Prorocentrum minimum. Its description in RNAcentral is "partial Bacterial small subunit ribosomal RNA". It matches the Rfam family "Bacterial small subunit ribosomal RNA", at positions 89 to 450 of the family's 1533-position model. Lineage: Eukaryota; Dinophyceae; Prorocentrales; Prorocentraceae. The record is from RNAcentral.
UGACGAGUGGCGGACGGGUGAGUAAUGUCUGGGAAACUGCCUGAUGGAGGGGGAUAACCACUGGAAACGGUGGCUAAUACCGCAUAACGUCGCAAGACCAAAGAGGGGGACCUUCGGGCCUCUCACUAUCGGAUGAACCCAGAUGGGAUUAGCUAGUAGGCGGGGUAAUGGCCCACCUAGGCGACGAUCCCUAGCUGGUCUGAGAGGAUGACCAGCCACACUGGAACUGAGACACGGUCCAGACUCCUACGGGAGGCAGCAGUGGGGAAUAUUGCACAAUGGGCGCAAGCCUGAUGCAGCCAUGCCGCGUGUAUGAAGAAGGCCUUCGGGUUGUAAAGUACUUUCAGUCAGGAGGAAG